AGAAGACCUAAAAAGAAAAGGAAGAAAGAGAAGACAAGGCAGUAUCACAUCAUGAUCAUCAGAUCUGAAGACGUUUCCCCACCACAACUCGAACAGCUCGCGGGAUGCAGCGAAGACUCCCCUCCCACCACGACCCCAUUCCCACCAUGGGGAGACUCUUCUCUGUCUGAGGUUGAAAAAAUUAAAAUUCCGAUCCCCAUCAA
Long non-coding RNA from Ornithorhynchus anatinus (platypus), 203 nucleotides. RefSeq lists it as uncharacterized. The record is from RefSeq and is a predicted model, not a curated record. Lineage: Eukaryota; Metazoa; Chordata; Mammalia; Monotremata; Ornithorhynchidae. The transcript is spliced from 2 exons.